RNAcentral lists this long non-coding RNA (3273 nucleotides) under Homo sapiens (human). Its description in RNAcentral is "long non-coding RNA NONHSAT097610.2". The record is from RNAcentral. Lineage: Eukaryota; Metazoa; Chordata; Mammalia; Primates; Hominidae.
AUAUCAAUACAUACUAAGAGUGAAGAUUUAAACCUUCCUCUUUCAUGAAACACCAAUCUUGCCAAAUAAACUCCAGUCAUAAUUAAAUACAGGCAAAUGUAGUAUCAGGUCUAUUUUAGUAAAGGCAAAUUCUUGCCAUUCCUCUCAGAACUCUUUUUAAAAAAGUAAUCUAUUAAAACCAAAGUUUCUAACACUCACCGACACUCCACAAUUUUUCUAGUAAGGCUGAAUUUAUUCCAUGACAUUUUUUUCAAGUUAGCUGUAAACACUCCACCCUCUUCGAUUGUGCAACAACCAAACACAUCACACAAAUACAAGUCACAAAAAAGGGAAAUACAGUUUAAGAGUUUGAAUUUAGGUAAGUUUUGAGCAGAGGAUCUUAGAGCAGUGCACAACGCGAUAUAAAAGUUAACAUUUAACAAAUCAUAUUAAUUCACAUUAUUACGAAAGGAGAUGCCGGAAAGAGCCUGAACCAGUUAAAGCAGCCGCCAUCUUAAAAUGCGGGAUAGAAGUUAGAGCAAGAAAAUGAGACUAAACCACCGGAGGUGGAGGUUCCGCUCACUCCCAGAGCUCCGAAAAAUCCUAGUUUUUUUUCAACUUAAAUCGAUAAUAUACUAUCAAACCACAUUUCAAGUAACGAAACAAGGGUGUUAUUAAAUAGAAUGAGGCAAAAAUAGGUACAUUAGCUUUCCCUUACUGCCAUCGCACCCCUUAUCCACCCCCACUCUCCAGCCAAAAGGAAAAGGGAGCUUCCAGAAUGCCUUUUACAUCAGUUCCCGGUGUCCCUCGGAUAAAUAGCUUCGGGUGAAAAGCUGCAACUACAAAAUACAGGAAGUGGCAACACUGUGUCAUUCCAUCUCCUCCCAAACCCACUUAUUCGGUGUAACCUGCCCAGAGUCGACUAAGAGUUUCUACUAGACUCACUGACUGACCUUCAAUACGCAAGACUUCUUCUACCCGACCCUCAGUCAAGUUCGGGACUCGCCAGAUUUUUUUUCUCUCCUCCGAGUUUUCUUUCUUACCCCUAGAAGGCCUAGAUAACCUUGAUCUCACAACUAAACUAAGUUUUCAAGCACCAAGAAUAGGAAGCGCCAUGACAUCUGCUGGAGCGUCUCUCCGCAAUUCGGACCCCCAAAAAAACUCCUUCUUAAGCAGCAAAAAAAUAAAAUAAUAAAGGCGCCUUAAGUCACUCUCCUCCACCCCUAAUUUGCACCGAUUCCACUGAAGCACUCAGGAUAACACCUCACUUGCCACAAGUGUUCUCCGUUUCCUAGCUUUAAACUUCAUUUCUUCAAGAAGUAUAUCUGCGUUCUCCAUCCCCCCAUGGAAGAAGUGAUCCAAGAGGUAUUUUCAGAAUUAUGCUUCCUUCCCACCCCCACGCUUUCCUCUUGGCCCGAGCCUUCCUUUUCUCCUACCACCCCAUGCCCUUGUCCCCGCGGGUUACCUUAUUAAUCCGUUUCAGCGCCAUAGUGUGUGCUUGUCGUCUGGCUCCUCACUCUCUCGGUGUAUGCUCAAAGGUCCGGCCAAAACUCUUGAUUAUCCCGGCGGCGGGGCAGGAUUGUCUCGUCUCACACCAGCUCUGCCAGACACAGGCGCCUUUUGCAAAAACGGAGCAGAUCAGCACUCGCACAGGCCCCGAAGAGCCCCUGAUGAAUCCAGGUCCCUUAAGACAGCCGCGAUCCGGGGUGGGUGGGGUGGCGUGGCAAAGCCACCAACAGCCUCUGUACCGUGCUUUCGGCCCGAAGUGGGGGCGAGGGUGACGGGAAGAGCGGAGGUGGUGGCUACAAGUUUAACUUCCCGGCCUCUAGAAAGGAAGAGACCCGGGUGGGAGAGGAAGAGGCGUAGGAGAAAGGGGUGGGUGCGGGGCAGGGUCCGGAGCCCAGCAGAGGAGGAGCCGGGGCCUAGUCGGCGCUAUACCGGCGUCACUAGGGCAAAGAAAGGCAAGGGGGGAGGGGGAAGCAUAAGACUCCGGACGGACGCCGGGCUGCUUUCGGUUUCUGUCCAAAGGUGCGGCCGGGAAAAGGAAGGAAAUAAAGGAAGGGAGACUUGAUGUGUAUUGCUAUCCUCGCAGCGAGCUAUUCUGUGUCACCCCUGACGCCACCGUACACUCACUCCGCCUUCCAGCGCGCUCCCGCGCGCGCCCGCCCAGCCACCUCCACCACGCGCCCGCGCUGUCCCUGAGGCUCCGGCUUAGGCGCGAGGACGCGCCCAUUCCCCCUCCUCCUCCAGCAGGAGAGGCCGCGGCUUCCCCAACCUUCCCACCCUAACCCACCGCACCCAAUAGGCUGGCCGCUCAAGCCGCCCAGGUCCCGCACUGCCCCUCUUACCCGGCCGGCCACUGGGCCGGCCUCCCUUCCCUGCCCUAGCCGUCCACACCCACGCGUACAGAGGGGCCGGGGCCUCCCUCAAGCUGCGGCCUCGGCCUCCUCCCCGCGCGGCAGCUGGUGCCUCCCCGGCCCUACGGGGCUCACGCGCACGACACAGCCACAAGAUGUCCGCUCUGACGGAACUACUGCCAGCUGCCACGCUCCGCCCCUCCCCCUCCUCCUGCCUCUUCACCGCCGCGGAUCAGUCCGCCAACGCCGCCGUCCCGAGCACAAGACCGAUGUGAGGCCGAAGCCAGACGGCUUGCUUCCCACGUCCGGGGCCGAGUGAAUACGUGUCAAGCCCUUUUCCUUCUUCUCGGAACAGCACCUUCUUACUAAACAGAUCGGAGAUUGGACCAGGAGGGCGGGGGAGGGAGGAGGAUCAUGAGCUGGGGGGAGGGUGAACGAGUGGCGGAAACCCUUAGGCUCAGAGAAGCAUCGAGAACCGGAAGGAGACCAUGGGAGGAAGUACCUCUUGACUUGCUACUGGUACCUGGAAGAGAUGUAACACCUGACCAUGGGACAUCAAGUGACUGUGUGAAUCAAACUGCCCAUCAUGAAUUGUUGUUAUUUGACUCAUCAAACUGUACAACUGGAUGAACACAGGAGCAGUGCACUACAUAUGGGACUGGAACCAUGAAUGAGCAGGUGACUCAGACUCCUAUAGUACCUGCCUCUACUCCUUCAGCACUUCUCCCUCAACCCACAUAAACUGUCAUCAUAAUGAGUUCCCUCUGACCAGUUAAUGGAAGAGAAAAAAGUAUGGAUGUUAUGGAUAUCCUAACAUAUUUCUGGCCAUUGGACCCCUAGAAACCUGUGGCAAGUCCUGGAAGUUUUUCAAGGUUCAUCUUGCACCUUCUAGCAUGCAUAUGUCGUACCAAAGCAUGUAGAAUGCUGCCUACUUCUG